Molecule: ribosomal RNA, 253 nt
Filed under: uncultured bacterium
Lineage: Bacteria
Description: partial 16S ribosomal RNA
Rfam family: Bacterial small subunit ribosomal RNA
Source: RNAcentral
UACGGGGGGGGCAAGCGUUGUUCGGAAUUACUGGGCGUAAAGGGCGCGUAGGCGGCCUGUUAAGUCGAACGUGAAAUCCCCGGGCUCAACCCGGGAACUGCGUCCGAUACUGGCAGGCUUGAAUCCGGGAGAGGGAUGCGGAAUUCCAUGUGUAGCGGUGAAAUGCGUAGAGAUAUGGAGGAACACCAGUGGCGAAGGCGACUUUCUGGUCUGUAACUGACACUGAGGCGCGAAAGCGUGGGGAGCAAACAGG